UGUUAGGGGGUUUCCGCCCCUUAGUGCUGCAGCUAACGCAUUAAGCACUCCGCCUGGGGAGUACGGUCGCAAGACUGAAACUCAAAGGAAUUGACGGGGGCCCGCACAAGCGGUGGAGCAUGUGGUUAUUCGAAGCAACGCGAAGAACCUUACCAGGUCUUGACAUCCUCUGACAAUCCUAGAGAUAGGACGUCCCCUUCGGGGGCAGAGUGACAGGUGGUGCAUGGUUGUCGUCAGCUCGUGUCGUGAGAUGUGGUUAAGUCCCGCAACGAGCGCAACCCUUGAUCUUAGUUGCCAGCAUUCAGUUGGGCACUCUAAGGUGACUGCCGGUGACAAACCGGAGGAAGGUGGGGAUGACGUCAAAUCAUCAUGCCCCUUAGACUGGGCUACACACGUGCUACAAUGGACAGAACAAAGGGCAGCGAAACCGCGAGGUUAAGCCAAUCCCACAAAUCUGUUCUCAGUUCGGAUCGCAGUCUGCAACUCGACUGCGUGAAGCUGGAAUGCUGUAAUCGCGGAUCAGCAUGCCGCGGUGAAUACGUUCCCGGGCCUUGUACACACCGCCCGUCACACCACGAGAGUUUGUAACACCCGAAGUCGGUGAGGUAACCUUUUAGGAGCCAGCCGCCGAGGUGGACAGAUGAUUGGGGUGAAGUCGUAACAAGGU
Molecule: ribosomal RNA, 667 nt
Filed under: Bacillus subtilis
Lineage: Bacteria; Bacillati; Bacillota; Bacilli; Caryophanales; Bacillaceae
Description: bacterial SSU rRNA
Rfam family: Bacterial small subunit ribosomal RNA
Source: RNAcentral